RNAcentral lists this ribosomal RNA (265 nucleotides) under uncultured bacterium. RNAcentral describes it as "partial 16S ribosomal RNA". It matches the Rfam family "Bacterial small subunit ribosomal RNA", at positions 524 to 784 of the family's 1533-position model. The record is from RNAcentral.
UACAGAGGGUGCAAGCGUUAAUCGGAUUUACUGGGCGUAAAGCGCGCGUAGGCGGCUAAUUAAGUCAAAUGUGAAAUCCCCGAGCUUAAACUUGGGAAUUGCAUUCGAUACUGGUUAGCUAGAGUGUGGGAGAGGAUGGUAGAAUUCCAGGUGUAGCGGUGAAAUGCGUAGAGAUCUGGAGGAAUACCGAUGGCGAAGGCAGCCAUCUGGCCUAACACUGACGCUGAGGUGCGAAAGCAUGGGGAGCAAACAGGGAGUUAAGAUG